Molecule: ribosomal RNA, 413 nt
Filed under: uncultured organism
Description: SSU rRNA
Rfam family: Bacterial small subunit ribosomal RNA
Source: RNAcentral
GUGCCAGCCGCCGCGGUAAUACGGAGGGAGCUAGCGUUGUUCGGAAUUACUGGGCGUAAAGCGCACGUAGGCGGCCAUUCAAGUCAGAGGUGAAAGCCCGGGGCUCAACCCCGGAACUGCCUUUGAAACUAGAUGGCUUGAAUCUUGGAGAGGCGAGUGGAAUUCCGAGUGUAGAGGUGAAAUUCGUAGAUAUUCGGAAGAACACCAGUGGCGAAGGCGACUCGCUGGACAAGUAUUGACGCUGAGGAGCGAAAGCGUGGGGAGCGAACAGGAUUAGAUACCCUGGUAGUCCACGCCGUAAACGGUGGGUACUAGGUGUGGGUUUCCUUCCUUGGGAUCCGUGCCGUAGCUAACGCAUUAAGUACCCUGCCUGGGGAGUACGGCCGCAAGCUAAAACUUAAAGGAAUUGACGG